Molecule: ribosomal RNA, 1368 nt
Filed under: uncultured bacterium
Lineage: Bacteria
Description: bacterial SSU rRNA
Rfam family: Bacterial small subunit ribosomal RNA
Source: RNAcentral
GAUAAACGCUGGCGGCGUGCCUAAUACAUGCAAGUCGAGCGAACGGACGAGAAGCUUGCUUCUCUGAUGUUAGCGGCGGACGGGUGAGUAACACGUGGAUAACCUACCUAUAAGACUGGGAUAACUUCGGGAAACCGGAGCUAAUACCGGAUAAUAUUUUGAACCGCAUGGUUCAAAAGUGAAAGACGGUCUUGCUGUCACUUAUAGAUGGAUCCGCGCUGCAUUAGCUAGUUGGUAAGGUAACGGCUUACCAAGGCAACGAUGCAUAGCCGACCUGAGAGGGUGAUCGGCCACACUGGAACUGAGACACGGUCCAGACUCCUACGGGAGGCAGCAGUAGGGAAUCUUCCGCAAUGGGCGAAAGCCUGACGGAGCAACGCCGCGUGAGUGAUGAAGGUCUUCGGAUCGUAAAACUCUGUUAUUAGGGAAGAACAUAUGUGUAAGUAACUGUGCACAUCUUGACGGUACCUAAUCAGAAAGCCACGGCUAACUACGUGCCAGCAGCCGCGGUAAUACGUAGGUGGCAAGCGUUAUCGGGAAUAUUGGGCGUAAAGCGCGCGUAGCGGUUUUUUAGUCUGAUGUGAAAGCCCACGGCUCAACCGUGGAGGGUCAUUGGAAACUGGAAAACUUGAGUGCAGAAGAGGAAAGUGGAAUUCCAUGUGUAGCGGUGAAAUGCGCAGAGAUAUGGAGGAACACCAGUGGCGAAGGCGACUUUCUGGUCUGUAACUGACGCUGAUGUGCGAAAGCGUGGGGAUCAAACAGGAUUAGAUACCCUGGUAGUCCACGCCGUAAACGAUGAGUGCUAAGUGUUAGGGGGUUUCCGCCCCUUAGUGCUGCAGCUAACGCAUUAAGCACUCCGCCUGGGGAGUACGACCGCAAGGUUGAAACUCAAAGGAAUUGACGGGGACCCGCACAAGCGGUGGAGCAUGUGGUUUAAUUCGAAGCAACGCGAAGAACCUUACCAAAUCUUGACAUCCUUUGACAACUCUAGAGAUAGAGCCUUCCCCUUCGGGGGACAAAGUGACAGGUGGUGCAUGGUUGUCGUCAGCUCGUGUCGUGAGAUGUUGGGUUAAGUCCGCAACGAGCGCAACCCUUAAGCUUAGUUGCCAUCAUUAAGUUGGGCACUCUAAGUUGACUGCCGGUGACAAACCGGAGGAAGGUGGGGAUGACGUCAAAUCAUCAUGCCCCUUAUGAUUUGGGCUACACACGUGCUACAAUGGACAAUACAGAGGGCAGCGAAACCGCGAGGUCAAGCAAAUCCCAUAAAGUUGUUCUCAGUUCGGAUUGUAGUCUGCAACUCGACUACAUGAAGCUGGAAUCGCUAGUAAUCGUAGAUCAGCAUGCUACGGUGAAUACGUUCCCGGGUCU